GAAACUAUUCUUCUUUUAUUGAAUCUCACAUUAUUAUUUACAAAUGCAAUAACAACUUAUUUAUACUAACUCAUAUCUCAACAGAAUUAAAAGCUUCACUAACAACUUAAGAACAGAACGUAAAACAUGAUUAACAGAUUUGCUGAGCUGGCUUCUUUACCCAACUAACUGCUGACUCAUCAUUGAACUAACUGCUGACUCAUCAUUGACACACAUGCUCAAUGAGCUUCCUUAACACU
RNAcentral lists this long non-coding RNA (239 nucleotides) under Citrus maxima (pomelo). RNAcentral's name for it is "long non-coding RNA (CMAX_LNC003958)". Lineage: Eukaryota; Viridiplantae; Streptophyta; Magnoliopsida; Sapindales; Rutaceae. The record is from RNAcentral.